This 99-nucleotide ribosomal RNA is filed under the name uncultured bacterium. Its description in RNAcentral is "partial 16S ribosomal RNA". It matches the Rfam family "Bacterial small subunit ribosomal RNA", at positions 1386 to 1482 of the family's 1533-position model. The record is from RNAcentral.
CACACCGCCCGUCACACCAUGGGAGUCAGUUGCUCCAGAAGCGGCUUGCCCAACCCGCAAGGGAAGGCGGCCCCUAAGGAGUGGCUGGUGACUGGGGUG